ACCUUAGAGACCAACUAAGUUUGUUCUGGGUAUAAGCUUUCGUGUGCAUCCACACUUCCUCAGAUACCAAGAGGUGUGCAUGCACACAAAAGCUUAUACCCAGAACAAACUUAGUUGGUCUCUAAGGU
This is a non-coding RNA of Podarcis lilfordi (Lilford's wall lizard), 128 nucleotides long. Lineage: Eukaryota; Metazoa; Chordata; Lepidosauria; Squamata; Lacertidae. The record is from the annotation of a GenBank genome assembly.